RNAcentral lists this long non-coding RNA (2997 nucleotides) under Citrus x clementina. RNAcentral describes it as "Citrus clementina (C. clementina) long non-coding RNA (CCLE_LNC005829)". Lineage: Eukaryota; Viridiplantae; Streptophyta; Magnoliopsida; Sapindales; Rutaceae. The record is from RNAcentral.
CACAGCCGUGCCAAAAAAUCAGCCCCGGAAUGUCGGGGCGCCAAGACAACCCAGCGGAAAAAUGGCCAAAAAACGGGUGGGCUAUAGCCUUGGUGGGGGGCGUGGGCGAAGUUCGUCCGCCGGACUCGGAAUGGCCCCAGACUUUGCGGGCGGCCUCCGUGUGCCAAAAAUAGGCCACGGCCACAGCCGCGCCCAAAAAUCAGCCCCCGAAGGUCGGGGUGCCAAGACCCCCCAGCGGAAAAAUGGCCAAAAAACGGGUGGGCUAUAGCCUUGGUGGGGGGCGUGGGCGAAGUUCGUCCGCCGGACUCGGAAUCGCCCCAGACUUUGCGGGCGGCCUUCGUGUGCCAAAAAUAGGCCACGGGCACAGCCGCGCCCAAAAAUCAUCCCCCGAAGGUCGGGGCGCCAAGACGCCCCAGCGGAAAAAUGGCCAAAAAACGGGUGGGCUAUAGCCUUGGUGGGGGGCGUGGGCGAAGUUCGUCCGCCGGACUCGGAGUGGCCCCAGACUUUGCGGGCGGCCUCUGUUUGCCAAUAUUAGGCAACGGGCACAGCCGCGCCCAAAAAUCAGCCCCCGAAUGUCGGGGCGCCAAGACCCCCCAGCGGAAAAAUUGCCAAAAAAUGGGUGGGCUAUAGCCUUGGUGGGGGGCGUUGGCGAAGUUUGUCCGCCGGACUCGGAAUGGCCCCAGACUUUGCGGGUGGCCUCCGUGUGCCAAAAAUUGGCCACGGACACAGCCGCGCCCAAAAAUUAGCCCCCGAUGGUCGGGAGGCCAAGACCCCCCAGUGGAAAAAUGGGCAACAAACGGGUGGGCUAUAGCCUUGGUGGGGGGCGUGGGCGAAGUUCGUCCGCCGGACUCGGAAUGGCCCCAGACUUUGCGGGCGGCCUCCGUGUGCCAAAAAUAGGCCACGGCCACAGCCGCGGCCAAAAAUCAGCCCCCGAAGGUCGGGGCGCCAAGACCCCCCAGCGGAAAAAUGGCCAAAAAACGGGUGGGCUAUAGCCUUGGUGGGGGGCGUGGGCGAAGUUCGUCCGCCGGACUCAGAAUGGCCCCACACUUUGCGGGCGGCCUCCGUGUGCCAAAAAUAGGCCACGGGCACAGCCGCGCCCAAAAAUCAGCCCCCGAAGGUCGGGGCGCCAAGAACCCCCAGCGGAAAAAUGGCCAAAAAACAGGUGGGCUAUAGCCUUGGUGGGGGGCGUGGGCGAACUUCGUCCGCCGGACUCGGAAUGGCCCCAGACUUUGCGGGCGACCUCCGUGUGCCAAAAAUAGGCCACGGGCAAAGCCGUGCCCAGAAAUGAGCCCCUGAAUGUCGGGGCGCCAAGACACCCCAGCGGAAAAAUUGCCAAAAAACGGGUGGGCUAUAGCCUUGGUGGGGGGCGUGGGCGAACUUCGUCCGCCGGACUCGGAAUGGCCCCAGACUUUGCGGGCGACCUCCGUGUGCCAAAAAUAGGCCACGGGCAAAGCCGUGCCCAGGAAUGAGCCCCUGAAUGUCGGGGCGCCAAGACACCCCAGCGGAAAAAUUGCCAAAAAACGGGUGGGCUAUAGCCUUGGUGGGGGGCGUGGGCGAACUUCGUCCGCCGGACUCGGAAUGGCCCCAGACUUUGCGGGCGGCCUCCGUGUGCCAAAAAUAGGCCACGGCCACAGCCGCGCCAAAAAAUCAGCCCCGGAAUGUCGGAACGCCAAGACAACCCAGCGGAAAAAUGGCCAAAAAACGGGUGGGCUAUAGCCUUGGUGGGGGGCGUGGGCGAAGUUCGUCCGCCGGACUCGGAAUGGCCCCAGACUUUGCGGGCGGCCUCCGUGUGCCAAAAAUAGGCCACGGGCACAGCCGCGCCCAAAAAUCAGCCCCCGAAGGUCGGGGCGCCAAGACCCCCCAGCGGAAAAAUGGCCAAAAAACGGGUGGGCUAUAGCCUUGGUGGGGGGCGUGGGCGAAGUUCGUCCGCCGGGCUCAGAAUGGCCCCACACUUUGCCGGCGGCCUCCGUGCGCCAAAAAUAGGCCACGGGCACAGCCGCGCCCAAAAAUCAGCCCCCGAAGGUCGGGGCGCCAAGACCCCCCAGCGGAAAAAUGGCCAAAAAACGGGUGGGCUAUAGCCUUGGUGGGGGGCGUGGGCGAACUUCGUCCGCCGGACUCGGAAUGGCCCCAGACUUUGCGGGCGACCUCCGUGUGCCAAAAAUAGGCCACGGGCAAAGCCGUGCCCAGAAAUGAGCCCCUGAAUGUCGGGGCGCCAAGACACCCCAGCGGAAAAAUUGCCAAAAAACGGGUGGGCUAUAGCCUUGGUGGGGGGCGUGGGCGAAGUUCGUCCGCCGGACUCGGAAUGGCCCCAGACUGUGCGGGCGGCCUCCGUGUGCCAAAAAUAGGCCACGGCCACAGCCGCGCCCAAAAAUCGGCCCCCGAAGGUCGGGGCGCCAAGACCCCCCAGCGGAAAAAUGGCCAAAAAACGGGUGGGCUAUAGCCUUGGUGGGGGGCGUGGGCGAAGUUCGUCCGCCGGACUCGGAAUGGCCCCAGACUUUGCGGGCGGCCUCCGUGUGCCAAAAAUAGGCCACGGGCACAGCCGCGCCCAAAAAUCAGCCCCCGAAUGUCGGGGCGCCAAGACCCCCCAGCGGAAAAAUGGCCAAAAAAUGGGUGGGCUAUAGCCUUGGUGGGGGGCGUUGGCGAAGUUUGUCCGCCGGACUCGGAAUGGCCCCAGACUUUGCGGGUGGCCUCCGUGUGCCGAAAAUAGGCCACGGACACAGCCGCGCCCAAAAAUUAGCCCCCGAUGGUCGGGAGGCCAAGACCCCCCAGUGGAAAAAUGGGCAACAAACGGGUGGGCUAUAGCCUUGGUGGGGGGCGUGGGCGAAGUUCGUCCGCCGGACUCGGAAUGGCCCCAGACUUUGCGGGCGGCCUCCGUGUGCCAAAAAUAGGCCACGGCCACAGCCGCGGCCAAAAAUCAGCCCCCGAAGGUCGGGGCGCCAAGACCCCCCAGCGGAAAAAUGGCCAAAAAACGGGUGGGCUAUAGCCUUGGUGGGGGGC